RNAcentral lists this ribosomal RNA (586 nucleotides) under uncultured bacterium. RNAcentral's name for it is "bacterial SSU rRNA". It matches the Rfam family "Bacterial small subunit ribosomal RNA", at positions 338 to 916 of the family's 1533-position model. The record is from RNAcentral.
CCUACGGGAGGCAGCAGUGGGGAAUUUUGGACAAUGGGCGCAAGCCUGAUCCAGCCAUGCCGCGUGUCUGAAGAAGGCCUUCGGGUUGUAAAGGACUUUUGUCAGGGAAGAAAAGGGCGGGGUUAAUACCCCUGUCUGAUGACGGUACCUGAAGAAUAAGCACCGGCUAACUACGUGCCAGCAGCCGCGGUAAUACGUAGGGUGCGAGCGUUAAUCGGAAUUACUGGGCGUAAAGCGGGCGCAGACGGUUACUUAAGCAGGAUGUGAAAUCCCCGGGCUCAACCUGGGAACUGCGUUCUGAACUGGGUGACUAGAGUGUGUCAGAGGGAGGUAGAAUUCCACGUGUAGCAGUGAAAUGCGUAGAGAUGUGGAGGAAUACCGAUGGCGAAGGCAGCCUCCUGGGAUAACACUGACGUUCAUGCUCGAAAGCGUGGGUAGCAAACAGGAUUAAAUACCCUGGUAGUCCACGCCCUAAACGAUGUCGAUUAGCUGUUGGGCAGCAUGACUGCUUAGUAGCGAAGCUAACGCGUGAAAUCGACCGCCUGGGGAGUACGGUCGCAAGAUUAAAACUCAAAGGAAUUGACGG